This 3047-nucleotide long non-coding RNA is filed under the name Sus scrofa (pig). Its description in RNAcentral is "lncRNA (ENSSSCG00025007303.1)". Lineage: Eukaryota; Metazoa; Chordata; Mammalia; Artiodactyla; Suidae. The record is from RNAcentral.
UUUUUUUUCUUUUGUUUUGUUUUGUCUUUUUGCCAUUUCUUGGGCUGCUCCCGAGGCAUAUGGAGAUUCCCAGGCUAGGGGUCGAAUUGGAGCUGUAGCCACUGGUCUACACCAGAACCACAGCCACGUGGGAUCUUAGCCACGUCUGCAACCUACCCCACAGUUCACGGCAACACCGGAUCCUUAAUGCACUGAGCAAGGCCAAGGAUCAAACCCACGACCUCAUGGUUUCUAGUCAGAUUCGUUAACACUGAGCCACGACAGGAACCCCUGAUUGUGUUUUUCAAGUCUUCUAUCUCCUUACUGUUUUUCUGACUAUCCUUAUAUAUCAAUUAAUGAUAAGAAUAGUGGCAUUCUUACAUGCAUAUGAGGAGUGUGUGCUAUAUUACCAUGUUUUCUAACAUUAUCUUCAUCUUGUGCCCAUAGGUUUACAGAUAUCUACACAGAUGGACCCUUCCUAACAUAUUCUCCCACUCUUUUAUUUGAAGUCCUGCUCAUAUAUAUCUCCACAAACUUCAGUUAACACUUAGGAGAUAUCUGACUGCAAAAAAAAAAAAAAAAAAAAAAAAAAAAAAAUCUUCAGGUUUUAGUCACGAUGUAAAUUCAAAAUAUAAUUUUUUCCUAUAAAUGUUGUAUAUUAUGUUUAUGUUCUAGUUUUAUGAGCUGUCUGCUCCUGAUCACGUGAUAAUUCUGAAUACAAUAAAAGCAACUUACGAAGUUUUGUGAAAGGUUCCAAGUGCUCUACUAAAAAUCUUUUUGUCUUAAAUAUUUAAACAGAAAUGAGAAAACUAUGAACAUUUUUUUCAAAUAUCAGUUAGAAAAUUCAAGAAGCAGAUUAUACUAAUUACCGUUACUGAGAAGUUACACAUCAUGGACUCAAAUUUCUCUUUAUGAGGCUUAAUGCAGCUUAAUGCUUUACCUCAUGGGAGUUACAAUAUGGAAAGAAGACAUAAAAGACCUGAGUCAAUUGAUCUGUAUUACAGCGGGGCCUGCAAAAUAUGCCAGGUCUCCCAGGGUGGCCACACUGUCUGAAUAAUUCAUCUCGGAGCUGUUGUUAUACUUGAGGGAGGCAUCCACAGGCCUAUGAGUGACCAUCUGCAGAAGAGGAAAAGGCAGGCCAGAAUAGCAUAAAUUUCAUAAGCAGUCAAGCUCACUAUUGGAGAAAAAAAAUUGUCUCAUAUUCAGACAGUUCUAAGACAUCAGCUGAAUGAAUACAAUGCAGUCACAUAUCAACAUUAAAAUAUACGGUAACACCUAUAGGUACUAUAACAAUGAAUAGAAUGAUGAGACAAGACCCAACAAAUUGCAAUUUGUCAUAGGAGACAAAUUUCCAUUAAAAUUAAUGCAAAAGUACAGAAUAUCUCAGUUUGGGAACGUGAUUAUCAUUUCUACCUCCAUUCAGUAUGUACUUUGUUUCAGGUGUUAUGCUAGUCGAUGCAUAUAGGCCUGAAUUAUAAUAUUAAAGUUUGAAUUAGGAUACAAAUGGAGUCUAUGAAAAAUAAGUGUGUGAUAUGCUUUUAGCUGAAGGUUUAGAAUGACUGAUAGUUUACCUUGGCAUGAACUAUGUCAUAAAAGGGAGGCCUUAGUUGCAUUUCUGCAAGAUAACCUAAAGCAAUAAAACACCCUCCUCAUCUACGCCAUUGUUCUUAUACCAGUGGAGAUCAAUUCAUAGAAAAGUUUUCUUCUGGGCUCAGACUAGAUGGGUUUACUUAAAGAUGCCUCUCUGCCAAUAAGACCCAGAGUCAAGAGACUCACAGCACUUUUCCCACCUUUCUUCCCCACAGUAAAGGAGAGAGCAAUUGGUGGCUUUCAACUUAUCUUCUUGUUAGAAGUCGUCUUAUCUGACAUAUUCGGAAUACGUAGUUGACCAGUUUAUCAAAUAAAAAUACUGACAUGCAGAGUUUGCUACUCUUUUGAUAGAAGGCCAAGGCGUUUGCUUCAUGUGCAGAUAUGCUCGUUAGGUUUCUACAUCUUACAUAAAGCAUUUUCAUUAUUCAUCAUCUACAAUUUCAAGUUUUCUUUUUUUAUAAUAAAGCAAGAAAAUUAAAGACAUUUGAGAAGCAAUAUGGAUGAAGAAUCUUAGUCACUCAAAUUUUUCCCAAUCUUUUAUGACUGGCUCAGCCACAGCUAAUUCAGCAACAAUUUUAUUUUGGAAAAUUGACUAGCAGUCUGUUUCAGCUUUCAUAUAAACAUUUCUCUUUACUUAUUGGAUAUUAUAUUUUGUUUACAGAGUAAUUAAUCCAAUUAUAUGAUAAAAUAGAUGUGCAACUGUCAUCUACAGAUGUGGGACUCUUGGUGACAUAUAUCCCCACAAGGGUCACCUAAAGUACACAAGUGUAUUGAAGAAGACCCAUCCAGAAUGUCACAGGCAUUAGUGUGUAGACUUUACAGAGAAAAUAGAGAGCAUUAGUUAAUCCACUUGGCUGAUAAAAGGGAUAUGGGAUAAGAGGGAUUCUGUUGUUACUUCUUAAGCUUUUGACUUUUUAUAAAGGCCUACUUAUUUAGAAAAGAAAAGGGGGAAAAAAAAAAACCUACCUCAAGUUCCCCUUUACAACUGGAACACUACCUUAAUCAAAAUACAAAGAUAUAACCAAAACUUUAGAGAAGGAAACAAUGAAUGGCAUUUAAGAAUAAGAAAACUAAAUUUCAGAAAAUCAAGACAGUAAAGGAGGGUAACAGAGAAAGACUUCAACUCCAUUGCAUCUCUUGAACACAAAGCUUGUGUUACACAACACUGCUAAGGUGAAAACAAAGCGAUACUAGCUGAAUAGCCCCAGUUCACUUCCCACAGGUUCACAGAGUGACGUGGUACCCACAGCAUCUCAAUGUCAUCAACGAUGACUUGCAAUAAAAAACGACCUUGAGCAUUUCAGAUCUAUUUGUACAAAUUUUGACAAGUGAAUGGCACUUAUUUUAAAUAAAGGCCAGGAGAUCACGUGACAGGCUUUGCAGGCUUAUAAAACCAUUUCAUUGCAAUCAGCAGAUUCCAAGGUUUGAAAAGCAUUUUGAAAUAUCUCAUAGUGCACAUGUAAAAGGGACAGUGAUUU